CUCGGUUCCGUUGUUAAAGACUGGGUUCACGAUAAUAAAUCCUGAGUUUUACACUGGGCUUGGCCUUGGGUCGGGCGAAAGAAUGCAGUUCAUCAGAAUCAAGGCCCGACUUGUGAAACAAUAUGCAUAUAGAGAGAGAGAAGUGAGAGCAGAUUGUUUUCUGCCAAAACUCCCACUGGAGCCGCCGGUGGACCGACCAACCUUCUUUCCGAGUGCUGGUAAAUCCUCCCACACCAUUGUUUCUCUGGGAAACCACCGUAAGAUAAAAAAAAAAAACCCUAAAGGUUGAAACUGCGCCCUGUAAACCACCUCAAAUUUUUGGUAUCUCCGUCGCCGUUCAAACAGGCUAGAAGCUUCCCCGACUGGCCUAGACCUUAAGCAACCCUUUCCCGCCGUCAAUCUCACGGUGAACCCAAGGAAUUUGAGGGGUUUGCAGAAAUGGAGGAAACGAUACCGUUUAAGAAUCUGCAUAGCAGAGAGUAUCAAGGUCACAAGAAGAAGGUGCAUUCGGUAGCUUGGAAUUGUACUGGCACGAAGCUUGCUUCUGGUUCUGUUGACCAAACAGCUCGUGUUUGGCUCAUUGAGCCUCACGGCCAUGGUAAAAUUAAAGACAUUGAAUUGAAGGGACAUACUGAUAGUGUGGAUCAGCUUUGUUGGGACCCCAAGCACACUGAUCUGAUAGCGACUGCAUCAGGUGACAAGACGGUUCGUCUGUGGGAUGCUCGUAGUGGAAAAUGCUCUCAGCAGGCAGAACUUAGUGGGGAGAAUAUAAACAUCACCUAUAGACCUGAUGGAACCCAUGUAGCUGUUGGGAACAGGGAUGAUGAACUGACAAUACUGGAUGUUCGCAAAUUUAAGCCAAUUCAUAGGCGCAAGUUCAAUUAUGAGGUAAAUGAGAUUGCUUGGAAUAUGACAGGAGAGAUGUUCCUUUUGACAACUGGGAAUGGUAUAAUGUUCCAAGCAGUUUUUCUUUUGUUGCUGAUGUGUUGCAUUACCCACAUCACGUUUUUAAAUUCUUGAAUAUUCCAUUUAACUUCCGUUCAGGUACUGUUGAAGUGCUAGCAUACCCAUCUCUUCGACCACUUGACACAGUUGUAGCUCAUACAGCUGGUUGCUACUGCAUUGCAAUAGAUCCAAAGGGAAGGUGAACUGCAAAGCUUUCUAAAUUCUCUUAAGGCUAUUUGAACGUUACAGCAGCUUGGUGCUAUCAAACCUAUGUAAGCAUAUGAUGAAAUCAUGGAACCAUUAUGUUAACCUUUUCCUUUCUUGACAGAUACUUUGCAGUUGGAAGUGCUGAUUCCUUAGUUAGCCUUUGGGAUAUCUCAGAGAUGCUUUGUGUCCGAACAUUUACGAAACUAGAAUGGCCUGUCAGGACAAUAAGCUUCAACCACACGGGAGAUUAUAUCGCAUCUGCUAGCGAAGACUUGUUCGUUGAUAUAUCCAAUGUUCAUACUGGACGCUCCUUGCAUCAAAUCCCAUGUAAAGCUGCCAUGAAUAGUGUUGAGUGGAAUCCUAAGUACAAUUUGCUUGCAUAUGCUGGGGAUGAUAAGACCAAAUAUCAGACUGAUGAAGGUGUUUUUCGAAUAUUUGGCUUUGAGAAUCCCUAAAUUAUACCAGAGCUUGGGCUAGCAUCAUGUUGUAACAUCAGAAUUAUUGGUCUCUUUUUGUUCGAUUGGCUUUUGAUUUUUUUUGGGUACAAAAAAAAAAUUUUAAAGUCAAGAGGUGCCAGGGAUUUGCCUUAAAUUGUUUGCUUUAAAUUAUGUCCUUAUUAUGUUUGAUCUUGUUCAUGAAAUAUGAAUUUAUGUUUUGUUUUAAAUUAUUUCCUUGUUAUAUUUGAUCUUCUUCAUGAAAUAUGUAUAUCUUCUUUUAUUAUAGUUGUCGCAGUUAUGAUCAAAUAAAUUAUGAACUUUGUGUAAAAA
RNAcentral lists this unclassified non-coding RNA (1919 nucleotides) under Hevea brasiliensis (rubber tree). The record is from RNAcentral. Lineage: Eukaryota; Viridiplantae; Streptophyta; Magnoliopsida; Malpighiales; Euphorbiaceae.